AGACGUAACACAUGCAGUCGAACGGUAACAGGAAGCAGCUUGCUGUUUCUUACGAGUGGCGGACGGGUGAGUAAUGUCUGGAAACUUGCCUGAUGGAGGGGGUAACUACUGGGAACGGGAGCUAAAACCGCAUAACGUCGCAAGAACCAAGAGGGGGACUUAGGGGCUCUUGCCAUCGGAUGUGCCCCGAUGGGAUUAGCUAGUAGGUGGGGUAACGGCUCACUAGGCGACGAUCCCUAGCUGGCUGAGAGGUGACCAGCCACCUGGACUGAGACACGGCCAGACUCCACGGGGAGCAGUGGGAUAUUGCACAAUGGCGACUGAUGCAGCAUCCGCGUGUAUAGAAGCCUUCGGUUGUAAAGUACUUUCAGCGGAGAAGGAGAAAGUUAAUACCUUUGCUCAUUGACGUUACCCGCAGAAGAAGCACCGGCUAACUCCGUGCCAGCAGCCGCGGUAAUACGGAGGGUGCAAGCGUUAAUCGGAAUUACUGGGCGUAAACGCACCAGGCGGUUUGUUAAGUCAGAUGUGAAAUCCCCGGGCUCAACCUGGGAACUGCAUCUGAUACUGGCAAGCUUGAGUCUCGUAGAGGGGGGAGAAUUCCAGGUGUAGCGGUGAAAUGCGUAGAGAUCUGGAGGAAUACCGGUGGCGAAGGGGCCCCCUGGACGAAGACUGACGCUCAGGUGCGAAAGGUGGGGAGCAAACAGGAUUAGAUACCCUGGUAGUCCACGCCGUAAACGAUGUCGACUUGGAGGUUGUGCCCUUGAGCGUGGCUUCCGGAGCUAACGCGUUAAGUCGACCGCCUGGGAGUACGGCCGCAGUUAAACUCAAUGAUUGACGGGGCCCGCACAAGCGUGGAGCAUGUGUUUAAUUCGAUGCACGCGAGACCUACUGUCUGACAUCCACGGAGUUUCAGAGAUGAGAUUGUGCUCGGGACUGUGAGACAGUGCUGCAUGCUGUCGUCAGCUCGUGUGUGAAUGUGGUAGCCCCACAAAAAAAAAA
Molecule: ribosomal RNA, 999 nt
Filed under: uncultured Escherichia sp.
Lineage: Bacteria; Pseudomonadati; Pseudomonadota; Gammaproteobacteria; Enterobacterales; Enterobacteriaceae
Description: bacterial SSU rRNA
Rfam family: Bacterial small subunit ribosomal RNA
Source: RNAcentral